This 551-nucleotide ribosomal RNA is filed under the name uncultured fungus. Its description in RNAcentral is "eukaryotic LSU rRNA". The stretch from base 197 to 350 matches the Rfam family "5.8S ribosomal RNA". The record is from RNAcentral. Lineage: Eukaryota; Fungi.
CUCCGUAGGUGAACCUGCGGAGGGAUCAUUACACAAAUAUGAAGGCGGGCUGGAACCUCUCGGGGUUACAGCCUUGCUGAAUUAUUCACCCUUGUCUUUUGCGUACUUCUUGUUUCCUUGGUGGGUUCGCCCACCACUAGGACAAACAUAAACCUUUUGUAAUUGCAAUCAGCGUCAGUAACAAAUUAAUAAUUACAACUUUCAACAACGGAUCUCUUGGUUCUGGCAUCGAUGAAGAACGCAGCGAAAUGCGAUAAGUAGUGUGAAUUGCAGAAUUCAGUGAAUCAUCGAAUCUUUGAACGCACAUUGCGCCCUUUGGUAUUCCAAAGGGCAUGCCUGUUCGAGCGUCAUUUGUACCCUCAAGCUUUGCUUGGUGUUGGGCGUCUUGUCUCUAGCUUCGCUGGAGACUCGCCUUAAAGUAAUUGGCAGCCGGCCUACUGGUUUCGGAGCGCAGCACAAGUCGCACUCUCUAUCAGCAAAGGUCUAGCAUCCAUUAAGCCUUUUUUUUCAACUUUUGACCUCGGAUCAGGUAGGGAUACCCGCUGAACUUA